Molecule: ribosomal RNA, 341 nt
Filed under: uncultured Pseudomonadota bacterium
Lineage: Bacteria; Pseudomonadati; Pseudomonadota
Description: bacterial SSU rRNA
Rfam family: Bacterial small subunit ribosomal RNA
Source: RNAcentral
AACGAACGCUGGCGGCGUGCUUAACACAUGCAAGUCGAACGCGAAAGUUUUCUUCGGAAGACGAGUAGAGUGGCGCACGGGUGAGUAACGCGUGGGUAACCUACCCUUGAAUUGGGGAUAACUCUUCGAAAGGGGAGUUAAUACCGAAUAAUAUUCUAAUUCCCACGGGAGUUGGAAUCGAAGGUGGCCUCUGCAUGCAAGCUAUCGUUUAAGGAUGGGCCCGCGUACCAUUAGCUAGUUGGUAGGGUAAUAGCCUACCAAGGCAACGAUGGUUAGCUGGUCUGAGAGGAUGGCCAGCCACACUGGAACUGAGACACGGUCCAGACUCCUACGGGAGGCUG